RNAcentral lists this long non-coding RNA (815 nucleotides) under Ananas comosus (pineapple). RNAcentral describes it as "long non-coding RNA (ACOM_LNC021776)". Lineage: Eukaryota; Viridiplantae; Streptophyta; Magnoliopsida; Poales; Bromeliaceae. The record is from RNAcentral.
UUGUCUCCUCCGCUCGAUGUCGCCGCAUCCGUCGCUCCGUCUCUAGCAACUGCACAUCCGCGAACUUUUGGAACCCAAACCGUCUUCGCUCCCGUUCUGGCUGUGCUCUCGUUCAGAACGUAUAAGUUCCCACGCUUGUUCGCCUCGCAUACGACCCGAUCUCGUUUUCGGACCCUCAUAGCUCCACCUGAAGCUGAAAUAUCGCAACCCUUCGAGUCCAAUGCGCCUAACGAGAUCAAAUUCCGCUUCAAUCCAGGAACGUGCCGCACACCUGUCAGCGUCCUCACGACCCCAUCGUGCAUUCGGAUCUUUACCGUGCCGACUCCCAAUACUUUGCACGCUGUCCCGUUCCCCAUCAGCGCCUUUCCACCUUUGAUCGCCUUAUAGGUGGCAAAAGACUCAUUCUCCCGGCAUACGUGAAAAGAACACGCCGAAUCGAGCACCCACGCGUCAUCCGAAAUUUUCGCACCUCCGGUCGCUGCAUAUAGCACAUCAGAAUCGAAGAUCUCCGACUCUGCCGUCUGUGCCGUCGCUGAUACCGUCUCGUCCUCGUUCACAACAGUUUUCUCCUUCUGUCACUUUAACUCCUUCAGAUUAUCCUGAAGUUUUCGACAAUUGCGCUUUAUAUGCCCUUUCCUCUGACAGUAAAAGCACUCCACCUCAUAUAGCGGCUUAUUCUGUCGAUCUCCAGUCGUCGAUAUUCUCUCCUCAUUCUUCGCAGUCACCACCAGUCCUACAUCCUGACUUUGCGUGCCGGACUCCUGAGUCAUCUUCCGCAUCUCGUUUGAGAGAAGCGCCGCCAUAACCGCCUCCAC